UGGGGAAUAUUGCACAAUGGACGAAAGUCUGAUGCAGCAACGCCGCGUGCGGGAAGACGGCCUUCGGGUUGUAAACCGCUUUCAUCCAUGACGAAGCUAACGUGACGGUAGUGGAAGAAGAAGCACCGGCUAACUACGUGCCAGCAGCCGCGGUGAUACGUAGGGUGCGAGCGUUGUCCGGAAUUAUUGGGCGUAAAGAGCUUGUAGGCGGUUUGUCACGUCGGGAGUGAAAACUCGGGGCUUAACCCCGAGCCUGCUUUCGAUACGGGCUGACUUGAGGAAGGUAGGGGAGAAUGGAAUUCCUGGUGAAGCGGUGGAAUGCGUAGAUAUCAGGAGGAACACCAGUGGCGAAGGCGGUUCUCUGGACCUUUCCUGACGCUGAGAAGCGAAAGCGUGGGGAGCAAACAGGCUUAGAUACCCUGGUAGUCCACGCCGUAAACGGUGGGUACUAGGUGUGGGGAACAUUCCACGUUCUCCGUGCCGCAGCUAACGCAUUAAGUACCCCGCCUGGGGAGUACGGCCGCAAGGCUAA
This 532-nucleotide ribosomal RNA is filed under the name uncultured compost bacterium. RNAcentral's name for it is "bacterial SSU rRNA". It matches the Rfam family "Bacterial small subunit ribosomal RNA", at positions 355 to 897 of the family's 1533-position model. The record is from RNAcentral.